RNAcentral lists this long non-coding RNA (3330 nucleotides) under Anthonomus grandis grandis. RNAcentral's name for it is "uncharacterized LOC126742700". Lineage: Eukaryota; Metazoa; Arthropoda; Insecta; Coleoptera; Curculionidae. The record is from RNAcentral.
UUAGCAUCGAUAUCUUGAUGUUAAGGCAUCGAUGGUCAAAAUAAUUGGUUUCAAAUAGGACAUAGGACAAGCUCUUAACGUUAGGAUGUCACUGGGAGAGUUGAUUUGGCCAGUUGAUCCAAUUUUUCAGUGGAAAACCAUCAACAUCAUAACACACAGUGAAUGAUAAAUAAGUCACUUAUAAGAAUCGACUGAAAGAACUGACUUGAUUUGGGCGUUUUGUUGAUUUUUAAGUGAGCAACUAAAGUAGUCAAUUACUCAUUAAAAAAUGGACUCUCAACAAUAGACUGUCACUAAGAAAGGUAAUUUGGCCACUUGAUUUAAUUUUUACCAUCAACAUUCUAACACAUAGUGAAUAAUGAGUAACUCAAUAAAGUCCAUAUUAUCAAUUAAAAUAAAAUUAAUUUUCAAUGUUAGAACGUCACUGGAACAGUUGAUAUUUUCUUGAUUUUUAAACGAGAAACCAUUGAUGUCAGAGCAAAUAAAUUAACCAGAAAAAGUAAAUUAUUCAUUAAAACAAAACUGAUUAUCAAGGUUAUGAUGUCACUGAGAGGGCUUUCUUGAUUUUUUAAAUGAAAGAUCAUUGACGUUCUACCAAUAGAAUGUUACUCAACACAAUAAAUUAUUAAUGCAUUUUAUAGUAAAAUAAUUCUUUGAUGUUAGGUACAAAGGUCUUAAGUCACUUUUUGACGAAAUCCCGAAAAAUGUUGGCCUUAAGUCAAAAUUUUUUGCUCGUUCUGGUGAUAUUAGAGACUUAAGUCGUACCGUUUUUAUUUAGGCCCCAUAAAUUGGUACAAAAGACUUAAGUAAAAAAAAAUUUCUGGUCUGGUAAUAGAGUCUUAAGUUUACAUAAGACCUUCGUACCAAAACAUUGUAAAAGGAAAGUAGUGUCAUACACUGACUUAAGACUUUCGUAUCAAUUUAUCAUUAUUAUGUAUGUGGAACACGUGGUUAGAAGUUUAUGUGUAGUCGUUGUUUGUUUAUCGUAGAAAAUCGUUGAGUUAACGUGAGUGCAAGAAGUAAAUUGAAAUUGGCAAAUGUGAAGAAACAGUUAUUUCACACUCCCAUACACCGGAUGGAUAAUGAUCACGAAGAAAUGCCUAAUACUGAUCACCCAAGUCACAAAAUUUUAAUGCAAAUAUUUGAAAAAUCCAACAGGAUUUUUCAAAUAUUUUGGACUUUGAUGAGAAUUUUUUGGGUGAAAAUUAUAUACAGCAAGUAAUAAAGGUGAAUGCUUUUAAAACGUUAUCGGCGAUACAAUAAAUAAAAGUUUAGCUGUGUCGCUAACAGAAGAUCAGAUCCCAGAUAUAGGGUCUGUAACACCAUCGCCAGCCCCUUCACUGACGGCAGAUUUGACAGCUAUCUUAAAUUCAGAUGACAGUUAUGCAGAUAAGGACUAUUUACCUGGACAAUCUGAAAGUGAAAGCAGUAACGACAACAUUGAUUUAUUGUCCAUUCAGAAAAAAAUAAGUCGUUCAGAGGCUAAUAUUUCCUCCCAAAAAUCACAAGAAAAAUUGAACAUAACUGAUCAAGCUGGACCUAGUGCUUCCUCAACAAUAAUUAGAGCAGAAAAGGCAAAAGUUCAUAUAGAUAAACCCUUAAAAAAGUGGUCCCGAGUUGUAAGAAAAGAGAGAACUGAAAAAAUUAAUUCUGGACAAAGUUACGUGAAUAUAAGCGGUAAAAUGGUAAAUGCAAGACAUAUGAAGCCUUUAAAAGAUUGUAGAAAAAAAUGCUCACAAACAUUAAAUGAAGACGUUCGAAAAAAAUUUUUGAUGAAUAUUAGUCCUUAGGAUCCCAUAGCAAAACAGUAACAUUUAUUGCAAAUCUAAUUAAUUCGAAAGAUACCCAAGUAAGUCGUAAAUGAAAACGCGACUCUUCAAAAAACAGAGAAGUAACUUACGAAUAUUUUUUGAAAUAAAUGGAAAAAGAAUAUCUGUAUGCAAAGAUUGUUUUUGUAAGACUUUGGAUGAAAAGGAAAAGUUUAUAAAAGUGGUUUUAAAAAACAAAAUGCAAAGCACUUCUGGCAUUACUGUUGAAGAUCAAAGAGGUAUAACACCUUCCGUAAAUAAAAAAUCUGAACAAGAAUUAAAUGAAGUGCGUACACAUAUUAAAUCGUUCCCUUCUCACGAGAGUCAUUAUACAAGACGUACAAAUGAUAAAAGGUACCUACCAUCGCACCUAAAUCUGCGAAUUAUGUACGAUCUGUACAAAGAAGGAAGGCAAAAUCCCGUGGGAAGAACGAUAUAUGAAAAAGAAUUUCACAAAUUAAAACUAUCGUUUAAAAAGCCAUAUUUUGAUACCUGCUAUAAAUGCGACACUCUUAGUAUGCAAAUACAGGUUGCUUCUAAAUCAGAAAAUAAAGAAGAUGCAGUGCUUUCUAACACCCUUUAUAACUUCUCCAGUUGCAUUCUAUAAACGUCAGCUCUGGACGUAUAAUUUAACAGUGCAUGAUAGCAAUGGAGAAUCGACGCAUUAGAUGUGGCAUGAAGCAUUGGCUGCUCGGGGAGGUAAUGAAAUUGCUUCCUGCUUGUACACUCACAUUAAAAAUUUGCCCAAUGAUGUAAAUAAUAUAACUUUUUACUCCGCCACAUGUGGUGGACAAAAUCGAAACAGUCAUGUCGCUGCUAUGUUUAUAAAGGCUCAAAGUGAUAAUCCCAAUUUAAUGAUAAACCACAAGUUCUUAAUAUCUGGGCAUACACAUAUGGAAUGUGAUGUUGAUCAUUCCAUGAUAGAAAAGCGAAAAAAGAAAAUGGAAGUUCCAGUAUAUCAUCCACAUGAUUGGUACCAGUUGGUGAGAACAACUGGAAGAAAAAGACAAUUUAAAGUCCAUGAAAUGGAGCAAAAUUAAUUCUUGGAUUUUUCCGGGUUAUUAAAAUCAGUAAUGGUCAACAAAAAGAAAAAUAUAUAAGGCGAACAGUUUUAUUGGCAUAAUGUGCAAUGGCUGCAAUAUAAUAAUGGCGGUAUGGUACAAAAGUUCUAUAUCUAUACUAAAGAUUUUAAAAUUAUAAGCUUUCUAAGACAGGGCAAAAGUCAAAACCUAAAAGAUUUGGUAGUUUAAGAACUGUAUACUAAAGGGUUACUUACAAUAUCAAAGGAGAAAAAGAAAGAGUUGUGUUCGCUUCUUUCUUUGGUGUGUUUCACCAAUUUUAUUAAAAUUUACCUACCGAUACUAAAGUUAUUGCUAAUGACCCAGAUCUAGUGGAUGAAGCAGUAGAAGAAGAAGAAAAUUAAAUACUUACUUAGGCUAAAUGAAUCAAUUAGUUUCUAAGGGAAAAAAAGUUAGUUCGUGUUUUUUAAAACAUGUAUUUUGAUAUUAUUUGCCUUAUUAAA